RNAcentral lists this ribosomal RNA (407 nucleotides) under uncultured bacterium. Its description in RNAcentral is "bacterial SSU rRNA". It matches the Rfam family "Bacterial small subunit ribosomal RNA", at positions 509 to 916 of the family's 1533-position model. The record is from RNAcentral.
CAGCAGCCGCGGUAAUACGUAGGGUCCGAGCGUUGUCCGGAAUUAUUGGGCGUAAAGAGCGUGUAGGCGGCCAUACAGGUCAGCUGUGAAAACUCGAGGCUCAACCUCGAGACGUCGGUUGAAACCGUAUGGCUAGAGUCCGGAAGAGGAGAGUGGAAUUCCCGGUGUAGCGGUGAAAUGCGUAGAGAUCGGGAGGAACAUCAGUGGCGAAGGCGGCCCUCUGGACCAGCACUGACGCUGAGGCACGAAAGCGUGGGGAGCAAACAGGAUUAGAUACCCUGGUAGUCCACGCUGUAAACGAUGAGUGCUAGUUGUCGGCAUGCAUGCAUGUCGGUGACGCAGCUAACGCAUUAAGCACUCCGCCUGGGGAGUACGGUCGCAAGAUUAAAACUCAAAGGAAUUGACGG